Molecule: non-coding RNA, 1814 nt
Organism: Cyanistes caeruleus (blue tit)
Lineage: Eukaryota; Metazoa; Chordata; Aves; Passeriformes; Paridae
Source: RefSeq, a predicted model, not a curated record
GGCCGGAGGGCAGGGCAAGCGGCCGCCCAAGCUGGGGCAGAUCGGCCGCAGCAAGAGAGUGGUUAUUGAAGACGACAGAAUUGACGAUGUGCUGCAAAACCUCUCCGAGAAGGCCCCUCCGGGUGUUUGAAGCCUCCCCGGGGACGCCGAGCUGAAGCCCGGGGUGGGGUUCGGUUUACAAUGGCACAGGUGAUCGGCAAAAAAAUAAAUCCCCCUCCUCAAAACACCGCAGCGACCACCCGAGCUCCGGGAGCAUCGUCCAGCCGCAGCCCUGCCCUCCGGAGCAGGAGGGGAGGGCGGCGAGCGAGCCACAGCCCAGCCGAGAAUCCAAAAAUAAUAAUAAAUUCAAAUAUAUAUAUAUAUAUAUAUAUGUGUGUAAUCGGGGGAAAAUAAAUCACCUGCUUCAAACCACCCCCCUCUUCACCCCGAGGGAUGGACGGAGGAGAAACGCCGCGGCUGGGAAUUACUCGGGAUGGUUUUUUCUCGGGCUGAUGAACCUUGUGCCGAGCUAGAUCGGGGGGUAAGAGGACAAAAAAAAAAUAAGGGGGCAGCGAGAGAUGGGAGGGGAACAGCCCCUGGGGUCUCCCUCCGGUCAGGGUUGUUCCCAGAGGGCACCUUGUUUACAUUAUUUAAUCUUGCAAAAAUGAAUCCGUGCACUUGGAUGUACCACGCUAUCCCCUUCUGUACGAGUUUCUUUUCUUUUUUUUUCUUAUUUAUUUUAUUUUAUUUUAUUUUUUUUUUAUGUUGAUGUCUUUGGAUGUUGGGAAAUUAUAUAAAAUAGAUAUAUAUAGAUAUAUAUAUAUUUAAUUUUAGUCACGUUUUAAGGUUCUAGAGGGGGGAAAACCAAAACUUUUAUAAAGGGAAGGCCUGAAGGAAGAAUUGCUGGUUUAUUUUUUAAAGCUUGUACUUCUUGGUUGCUGUGAGCAAAGGGACAGAUUUUAUAUGUACAGGGGGGUGGGGGACAACGCUCAGCUUUUCUAACUACCAUGCAGUCUGUAGUGUGGGUGAUCUUGAUUUGGUUUUUUCUUUUUUUUCCUUAUAUUGUGGCAGUUUCCUCUCUUUAAUAGACUGUAUUAAAACAUAUAUAUAAAAGAAAUUAUUUAAUGUAAUCACAAGAGUGCCAAACACUUGGAGAUGCUGGAGGGCAGCGAUUCCCUCCCCGAGACGAGCAGCACUCGGAGCUUUCUGCUCUUUCUAAGGCUCAGUCGAUCUCUCGUGGGGUUUUCUCUGACUUCUCUUUUCUAAUCUUUCUUUUUAACUAUUUUGCAUGAUGUGCAUAAAACAAAAAAAAAAAGGGGAAAAAAAAGAAAGGUGUGGGGUGGGGGGAAAACAAAAAGCGCUUCUGGCGCCCGGGCUUGGUUCUUGUUUCUGUUUGCGAUUGACUGACAGACCUCAAGGCAGGUUUUUCUUUCCUCCUUUUCUUAAAUAUUGUGUAUGUUGCACUUUUAUCCACUACACAGGGCUAUUUCUGCAAUGUCCGAAUAAAAAGGAAAAUGAAACAAAACGGAAAAAAAAAUAUAAUAAUAAUAAUAAUAAUUCUAAAUGCGGAUCUGCCGUGUUUUCCCGUGAGAAUCCCUCCCCUGUCCACCCAAAAAAACCCCAAAAUAACCAAGGGAAAACCUCCCCACUCUCUGGCAUAGCCCCCUGUUCAUGCUGAAUAAUUAAUUGUAAUUGAUAUUUAUUUGUGGGAUAUUUUUGUUGUUGUUGUUUAAUGGGAAAAUGCUUCCAAUUUAAUGGAAAAAUUCAACGUUGGGUCCUGAGGAUGGGGAAUAAAAGGUGGUUUCCCCUUCACUGAUGGGAAAAGCUGUGGAAAA